Molecule: ribosomal RNA, 443 nt
Filed under: Streptococcus sanguinis
Lineage: Bacteria; Bacillati; Bacillota; Bacilli; Lactobacillales; Streptococcaceae
Description: bacterial SSU rRNA
Rfam family: Bacterial small subunit ribosomal RNA
Source: RNAcentral
GACGAACGCUGGCGGCGUGCCUAAUACAUGCAAGUAGAACGCUGAAGAGAGGAGCUUGCUCUUCUUGGAUGAGUUGCGAACGGGUGAGUAACGCGUAGGUAACCUGCCUGGUAGCGGGGGAUAACUAUUGGAAACGAUAGCUAAUACCGCAUAAAAUUGAUUAUUGCAUGAUAAUUAAUUGAAAGAUGCAAUUGCAUCACUACCAGAUGGACCUGCGUUGUAUUAGCUAGUUGGUGAGGUAACGGCUCACCAAGGCGACGAUACAUAGCCGACCCGAGAGGGUGAUCGGCCACACUGGGACUGAGACACGGCCCAGACUCCUACGGGAGGCAGCAGUAGGGAAUCUUCGGCAAUGGGGGGAACCCUGACCGAGCAACGCCGCGUGAGUGAAGAAGGUUUUCGGAUCGUAAAGCUCUGUUGUAAGAGAAGAACGGGUGUGAGAG